Molecule: long non-coding RNA, 1253 nt
Filed under: Marmota monax (woodchuck)
Lineage: Eukaryota; Metazoa; Chordata; Mammalia; Rodentia; Sciuridae
Source: RNAcentral
ACCAAAAACAAAAAAGAAAAAGAAAAGAAAGAAAAAAGAAAGCCAGAAUAGUUAUGCUAAUACCAAAGUGUACUUCAGAACAAGGAAUCUUAUGAGGGGAUAAAGAGAUUUCAUAAUGAUAUUGGGCUUCAACAGACAUAAGGCAAGAAGAAAAGGAACAGAAAGAGAAAAUAGACGAUUUUUAAAUUUUUUUUUCAGUUGUUGAUGGACCUUUAUUUUAUUCAUUUAUUUUUCUGUGGUGCUGAGAAUCGAACCCAGUGUCUCAUAUAUGUGAGGCAAGUACUCUACAACUGAGCCACAACCUCAGCCCCAAAAUGGAUGAUUUUUAUUGGAAUCUUCAACAUGCCUCUUUUGUUAAUUGAUAGAAGCAGCAGAGAGAUGAAUACUUGAAUAUAGAGGACUGAAAAAAUGCUAUCGACAACUAGGUAAAUUGAUACAUAUAUACAUAAAUAUAAAACUCCACCCAACAGCAAAAUACACUUUUUUCAAGUACACAUGGGACAUUCAUCAAAAUACAUCAUACUAAGGGUCAUAAAAUGAACAUCAACAAAUUUAAAAGAACCAAAACCAUACAAACUAUCUCUGACCAUAAUUUAAUGAAAUUAGAAAUCAAUAACAGGAAGAUACCUAAAAAAAACCCUUCAAUAUUUGGAAAUUAAACCUGUACCUUCUAAUAAGCCAGUGGUCACAGAGAAAAUCUUGAGGGAAAUAAGAAUUUUUUAUUGAAAGAAAAUAAAACUGCAACAUAUUAAAACAUGUGUGAUCCAGCUGAGCAUUCUGUCCUCAUGAGUAGACCAACACCAUUACUGCAAGACUGGGUUUGUUGUCUCAGGAGUGGGUUUCUGGGCAUGCACCCCCACUUUCUUCUCAUGUGAUGCCUUCCACCAUGCUGUGAGAAAGCAAGAAGGCCCUCACCACACUCAGCCCCUGGACCUUGGACUUCCUGGCCUCCAGAACUGCAAGCCAAAUAAAUUUCUGUUAAUUACCAAUUACCCAGUCUUAUAUUACAGCAACAUAAAAGGGAAAGACACAGAUACAUCUAUAGACAUGUACAUGUAUGCAUUACUAUAUGUACUGACAUACACACAUACCUACCACGUGCAUCCUAUAUUCUUUUGUAUCUAUCUCUCCUAGCCCUGUCCACUCAGAAAGGCUAGAAACAAGGACAUUUCAGUAAAGAGGAGAGUGCCUAAUUCCCAGUAAUGUUGGUUUUUCAAUAUCACUGUCCAAUAAAAAGAACCAGGAAUCCUUGG